AUAGAUAAAGAUAAUUAUGUUUUUAUAUGAAUAACAUACUGUUAUUUACAAAUCCACUGUCAGUGAAUAAUAUAAGCAAUAACCAGUAUAUUAAUUUUGACUUUUAAUAGUAUUAAUGUACCUAGAGUUUAAUCUUGUAUAAGUUACAUAAAGACUGUUUUUGUUUUAAAUGUUGUUACAUGACACUAUAUAUCAUAUUUUUUAUAAUAUUUUAAUUGCAUUUAAUAUUUAUAGUAUUUGUGUUAAUAAAUAUACUGAUAUUUAGUUGAUUAUUUUUAAAUUUAACUCAAUUAAAAUUUAUAUAAUAUUUUAUUUUUAAAUUGUGGGUAAAUUAAUACAAAUAUAAGAUUAUUCAGUUUAUGUUCAACUUAAACACUGAAUAGUUUUUAUAAUUCCUGAACUUGCCUACCCAACAUGAAUUUUGUAUU
This is a non-coding RNA of Cinara cedri, 428 nucleotides long. Lineage: Eukaryota; Metazoa; Arthropoda; Insecta; Hemiptera; Aphididae. The record is from the annotation of a GenBank genome assembly.